CAAACUACCUAGCAUGGUCCCAACAAGUCUCUCUCGUUCUCACUCUUCAAAAGUUGAUUUGACAUGUUGAUGGAACCACUUCCAUAUCACCCGAAACUGUUCUUGAGGCCGAUAAACCUGUCCCAAACCCUGCUCGUACUGAAUGGUUAACCAAGGAUCAAUCGGUAUGUCUCCUUCUUCAGUCCUCUCUCUCCGAGGAAGCCAUGUCCGAAAUUAUUGGCAUCUCUAAUGCUCGUCAGGUCUGGCUUGCCUUGGAAACAGCAUAUAGUCACUGUUCCACUAACCGUAUGCAUAUCUUACGUGAUAAUCUUGUGACAACCCUCACCAAACCAGGUCGUUACGCAGCAGGUUGACUGGGAGAUUUCUAUUUCGAGACGCACUUCAGGAACUAAGGAUCUGGCACGGUAUGCUACGUUUUCACACUGCGUAGAGUUAUGGGAUCAUCCGAGUUUAGGGGUUGUGGCUUUUACCUGGACGAGUCACAGUUCUUAAACUGCGUCUAUUUUAUGUUUGUGGUUAUGUCUUCUGAACAAUGUUUUCAUUUUGUAGUGUUGUAAACUCGACGCAUGUGUCAGCAUUAUAAGACAAUGAUGUGGUACUUUUAUUUUAAAACAUAAAUCAAUGGAUGAUCUGCAU
Molecule: long non-coding RNA, 636 nt
Filed under: Helianthus annuus (common sunflower)
Lineage: Eukaryota; Viridiplantae; Streptophyta; Magnoliopsida; Asterales; Asteraceae
Source: RNAcentral